UGGUACGGAAUGUUUAAAAGAGAAGGGAGUAGAAGCUUCCACGGUCCCGCCGCUGUGAAGACGGAGAACACUCGAUUAUGUCACUGGGGAUUUGAGAUUCCCGGGAAGGCCGAGGGUUUGAUGAGGUCGAAGUCAGAAGAACUGCCACUGAAGAA
This 155-nucleotide non-coding RNA is filed under the name pig gut metagenome. The record is from RNAcentral.